AGUUCGAUCAUGGCUCAGAUUGAACGCUGGCGGAUGCUUUACACAUGCAAGUCGAACGGCAGCACGGACUUCGGUCUGGUGGCGAGUGGCGAACGGGUGAGUAAUGUAUCGGAACGUGCCUAGUAGCGGGGGAUAACUACGCGAAAGCGUAGCCAAUACCGCAUACGCCCUUCGGGGGAAAGCGGGGGGACCUUCGGGCCUCGCACUAUUAGAGCGGCCGAUAUCGGAUUAGCUAGUUGGUGGGGUAACGGCUCACCAAGGCGACGAUCCGUAGCUGGUUUGAGAGGACGACCAGCCACACUGGGACUGAGACACGGCCCAGACUCCUACGGGAGGCAGCAGUGGGGAAUUUUGGACAAUGGGGGAACCCCUGAUCCAGCCAUCCUCGCGUGUGCGAUGAAGGCUCUCGGGUUGUAAAGCACUUUUGGCAGGAAAGAAACGGCACGGAUAAUACCCCGUGCAACUGACGGUACCUGCAGAAUAAGCACCGGCUAACUACGUGCCAGCAGCCGCGGUAAUACGUAGGGUGCAAGCGUUAAUCGGAAUUACAUUGGGCGAAGCGUGUGCAGGCGGUUCGGAAAGAAAGAUGUGAAAUCCCAGAGCUUAACUUUGGAACUGCAUUUCUGUUCACCGAGCUAGAGAGUGUGUCAGAGGGAGGUGGAAUUCCGCGUGUAGCAGUGAAAUGCGUGAUAUGCGGAGGAACACCGAUGGCGAAGGCAGCCUCCUGGGAUAACACUGACGCUCAUGCACGAAAGCGGGAGCAAACAGGAUUAGAUACCCUGGUAGUCCACGCCCUAAACGAUGUCAACUAGCUGUUGGGGCCUUCGGGCCUGGUAGCGCAGCUAACGCGUGAAGUUGACCGCCUGGGGAGUACGGUCGCAAGAUUAAAACUCAAAGAAUUGACGGGGACCCGCACAAGCGGUGGAUGAUGUGGAUUAAUUCGAUGCAACGCGAAAACCUUUACCUACCCUUGACAUGUCUGGAAUCCCGAAGAGAUUUUGGGGAGUGCUCGCAAGAGAACCGGAACACAGGUGCUGCAUGGCUGUCGUCAGCUCGUGUCGUGAGAUGUUGGGUUAAGUCCCGCAACGAGCGCAACCCUUGUCAUUAGUUGCUACGAAAGGGCACUCUAAUGAGACUGCCGGUGACAAACCGGGAGGAAGGUGGGGAUGACGUCAAGUCCUCAUGGCCCUUAUGGGUAGGGCUUCACACGUCAUACAAUGGUCGGGACAGAGGGUCGCCAACCCGCGAGGGGGAGCCAAUCCCAGAAACCCGAUCGUAGUCCGGAUCGCAGUCUGCAACUCGGACUGCGUGAAGUCGGAAUCGCUAGUAACGCGGAUCAGCAUGUCGCGUGAAUACGUUCCCGGGUCUUGUACACACCGCCCGUCACACCAUGGGAGUGGGUUUACCAGAAGUAGUUAGCCUAACCGUAAGGAGUGGCGAUUACCACGGUAGGAUUCAUGACUGGGUGAAGUCGUAACAAGGUAA
This 1485-nucleotide ribosomal RNA is filed under the name uncultured Bordetella sp. Its description in RNAcentral is "partial 16S-23S ribosomal RNA intergenic spacer". It matches the Rfam family "Bacterial small subunit ribosomal RNA". The record is from RNAcentral. Lineage: Bacteria; Pseudomonadati; Pseudomonadota; Betaproteobacteria; Burkholderiales; Alcaligenaceae.